Heteronotia binoei (common prickly gecko) is the source of this 395-nucleotide long non-coding RNA. RefSeq lists it as uncharacterized. NCBI's taxonomy places the organism in Eukaryota, Metazoa, Chordata, Lepidosauria, Squamata, Gekkonidae. The record is from RefSeq and is a predicted model, not a curated record. The transcript is spliced from 4 exons.
GUGGUUUCUUGCCUUGAGCCUUUUGGAGUUCAGUGCCAUUUUGAAAUCUUACUGGAGACUUUCUGUCCCAUUUGUCCAUUGGGAAUUCUAUGUGCAGUCUUUGGACGCACUGAAAAAGAAUCUUGUGGGCUUUGCAGCUUUUUGCAACUUAUUGAUGCAUCACCAAAAAACUGAUAUUUUUUCAGAGCUUUUGCCUUUGGUUGAGAUGUGUGGCUGGAGCACUCUAUGAUAGAAGAGGACUCGAAACAGGAAUAAUCAAGUCGACCUCCUGUUCAUUGAUACUCCUUUGAUGGAACUGUGAAACUUUUGGGGAACUGUUAUUGCUAUUUAGUCUUCUAUUGAACAUACUUGUAUGAUUUUGUUUCAAUGCAUUCUUAGUUGUUUGAUCACUAUAA